RNAcentral lists this long non-coding RNA (660 nucleotides) under Medicago truncatula (barrel medic). Its description in RNAcentral is "long non-coding RNA (MTRU_LNC000663)". The record is from RNAcentral. Lineage: Eukaryota; Viridiplantae; Streptophyta; Magnoliopsida; Fabales; Fabaceae.
UACAUGUGAGGUCUAUUAAAUAAGUCCCUAUUAAUAUACUACCAGGGUAUCAUUGUGGAUUAUCUAAGAUGUGGUGCCAAAGAUACUAACACAAAACACUCAGAAAUUUCUUUCCAUCUAUUCUUUCAGCGUGGCUUUGCUUCAAGGUGUGGUGCUGGCUUGCCUCCAUUAUAGCUAGACACCACCUUGCAUUUUCAAUCUCUUGCAUAUAUUUAGACUUUGCGUGAUAGAGUUUGGUCACCUCAAUACAAGAUUGUUAUAAAAAUUGCAAUUAUUAACAUCAACACAAUUAGGUAUAAAAGGAACCAAUGCAGGUUCAAGGACAAAACUUCUCACAGGAACACAACAAUCAAUAGUAUCACUUAUGCAGUAGCUCUUUCAUGAAAUAACACUUCUAGAGUUUCUAAUUCCUCUAUCAGAGACCUGAUCAUCUUGAAGAAGUUUUACAUCAAUAUUCAUCCCCCGAAGGCUCCCAUCAUCAAAGAGGAGUGUAGGGUUUUUCUCCAUAACAUUGUUAAACAUUGCUGCUGGUUAUACAAUCAAAGGAGCUUAUCAAUUGCUUGCUACCACCCAUCCUAGAGAUCGUUCAUAUAUUUCGCACCUGAUUUCGCACCUAUCCUACAUGAUAUAAUACUCUCUCCAUCCCUAUAUGUAAAUCCC